RNAcentral lists this ribosomal RNA (505 nucleotides) under uncultured bacterium. RNAcentral describes it as "partial 16S ribosomal RNA". It matches the Rfam family "Bacterial small subunit ribosomal RNA", at positions 28 to 507 of the family's 1533-position model. The record is from RNAcentral.
GACGAACGCUGGCGGCGUGCCUAAUACAUGCAAGUAGAACGCACAGUUUAUACCGUAGCUUGCUACACCAUAGACUGUGAGUUGCGAACGGGUGAGUAACGCGUAGGUAACCUGCCUGGUAGCGGGGGAUAACUAUUGGAAACGAUAGCUAAUACCGCAUAAUAUUAAUUAUUGCAUGAUAAUUAAUUGAAAGGUGCAAUUGCACCACUACCAGAUGGACCUGCGUUGUAUUAGCUAGUAGGUGAGGUAACGGCUCACCUAGGCGACGAUACAUAGCCGACCUGGGAGGGGGAUCGGCCACACUGGGACUGAGACACGGCCCAGACUCCUACGGGAGGCAGCAGUAGGGAAUCUUCGGCAAUGGACGAAAGUCUGACCGGGCAACGCCGCGGGAGGGAAGAAGGGUUUCGGAUCGGAAAGCUCUGUUGUAAGAGAAGAACGGGUGUGAGAGUGGAAAGUUCACACUGUGACGGUAUCUUACCAGAAAGGGACGGCUAACUACGUG